Molecule: long non-coding RNA, 326 nt
Filed under: Salmo salar (Atlantic salmon)
Lineage: Eukaryota; Metazoa; Chordata; Actinopteri; Salmoniformes; Salmonidae
Description: lncRNA (ENSSSAG00000088244.1)
Source: RNAcentral
GUUAGGGUUAGGGUUAGCUCUGUAAAGUUGGUCAUUGGGUUAGGGUUAGGGUUAGGGUUAGCUCUGUAAAGUUGGUCGUUGGGUUAGGGUUAGGGUUAGGGUUAGCUCUGUAAAGUUGGUCGUUGGGUUAGGGUUAGGGUUAGGGUUAGCUCUGUAAAGUUGGUCGUUGGGUUAGGGUUAGGGUUAGGGUUAGGGUUAGCUCUGUAAAGUUGGUCGUUGGGUUAGGGUUAGGGUUAGGGUUAGCUCUGUAAAGUUGGUCGUUGGGUUAGGGUUAGGGUUAGGGUUAGCUCUGUAAAGUUGGUCGUUGGGUUAGGGUUAGGGUUAGG